GAUGAACGCUGGCGGCGUGCCUAAUACAUGCAAGUCGAGCGAACAGACGAGGAGCUUGCUCCUCUGACGUUAGCGGCGGACGGGUGAGUAACACGUGGAUAACCUACCUAUAAGACUGGGAUAACUUCGGGAAACCGGAGCUAAUACCGGAUAAUAUAUUGAACCGCAUGGUUCCAUAGUGAAAGACGGUUUUGCUGUCACUUAUAGAUGGAUCCGCGCCGCAUUAGCUAGUUGGUAAGGUAACGGCUUACCAAGGCGACGAUGCGUAGCCGACCUGAGAGGGUGAACGGCCACACUGGAAGUGAGACACGGUCCAGACUCCUACGGUAGGCAGCAGUAGGGAAUCUUCCGCAAUGGGCGAAAGCCUGACGGAGCAACGCCGCGUGAGUGAUGAAGGACUUCGGAUCGUAAAACUCUGUUAUUAGGGAAGAACAAAUGUGUAAGUAACUAUGAACGUCUUGACGGUACCUAAUCAGAAAGCCACGGCUAACUACGUG
Molecule: ribosomal RNA, 497 nt
Filed under: uncultured bacterium
Lineage: Bacteria
Description: partial 16S ribosomal RNA
Rfam family: Bacterial small subunit ribosomal RNA
Source: RNAcentral